CAGUAGCCACGGUAACACGAAGGGGGCUAGCGUUGUUCGGAAUUACUGGGCGUAAAGCGCACGUAAGCGGAUAUUUAAGUCAGGGGUGAAAUCCCAGAGCUCAACUCUGGAACUGCCUUUGAUACUGGGUAUCUUGAGUAUGGAAGAGGUGAGUGGAAUUCCGAGUGUAGAGGUGAAAUUCGUAGAUAUUCGGAGGAACACCAGUGGCGAAGGCGGCUCACUGGUCCAUUACUGACGCUGAGGUGCGAAAGCGUGGGGAGCAAACAGGAUUAGAUACCCCUGUAGUCCCUGUCUCUUAUAC
Molecule: ribosomal RNA, 301 nt
Filed under: uncultured bacterium
Lineage: Bacteria
Description: partial 16S ribosomal RNA
Rfam family: Bacterial small subunit ribosomal RNA
Source: RNAcentral